CAGUCGCCGCGGGAAUACGAAGGGGGCUAGCGUUGCUCGGAAUGACUGGGCGUAAAGGGCGCGUAGGCGGUUUAUACAGUCAGAUGUGAAAUUCCUGGGCUCAACCUGGGGACUGCAUUUGAUACGUAUGGACUUGAGUGGAGAAGAGGGUCGUGGAAUUUCCAGUGUAGAGGUGAAAUUCGUAGAUAUUGGAAAGAACACCGGUGGCGAAGGCGGCGACCUGGUCUUUAACUGACGCUGAGGCGCGAAAGCGUGGGGAGCAAACAGGAUUAGAGACCCCCGUAGUCCCUGUCUCUUAUAC
RNAcentral lists this ribosomal RNA (301 nucleotides) under uncultured bacterium. RNAcentral's name for it is "partial 16S ribosomal RNA". It matches the Rfam family "Bacterial small subunit ribosomal RNA", at positions 509 to 807 of the family's 1533-position model. The record is from RNAcentral.